UUACCUCAGUAACGGCGAGUGAAGCGGUAACAGCUCAAAUUUGAAAUCUGGCAGCAAUGUCCGAGUUGUAAUUUGUAGAGGAUGUUUCGAGCAUGGUCUGGCCUAAGUUCCUUGGAACAGGACGUCAUAGAGGGUGAGAAUCCCGUAUGCGGUCAGGUGCCUACGCUCAUGUGAAACUCCUUCGACGAGUCGAGUUGUUUGGGAAUGCAGCUCAAAAUGGGUGGUAAAUUUCAUCUAAAGCUAAAUAUUGGCCAGAGACCGAUAGCGCACAAGUAGAGUGAUCGAAAGAUGAAAAGCACUUUGGAAAGAGAGUUAAACAGUACGUGAAAUUGUUGAAAGGGAAGCGCUUGCAACCAGACUUGCACGCAGUUAAUCAUCCGCUGUUCUCAGUGGUGCACUUGAUUGCGUUCAGGCCAGCAUCGGUUUUGGUGGUGGGAUAAAGGCCUUAGGAAUGUAGCUGCUUUCGGGCAGUGUUAUAGCCUAGGGUGCAAUGCCGCCUACUGGGACCGAGGACCGCGCUUCGGCUAGGAUGCUGGCGUAAUGGUUGUAAGCGACCCGUCUUGAAACACGGACCAAGGAGUCUAACAUCUAUGCGAGUGUUUGGGUGUCAAACCCAUACGCGUAAUGAAAGUGAACGGAGGUCAGAACCCUUAAGGGUGCAUGAUCGACCGGUCCUGAAGUCUUCGGAUGGAUCUGAGUAAGAGCAUAGCUGUUGGGACCCGAAAGAUGGUGAACUAUGCCUGAAUAGGGUGAAGCCAGAGGAAACUCUGGUGGAGGCUCGCAGCGGUUCUGACGUGCAAAUCGAUCGUCAAAUUUUGGGUAUAGGGGGCGAAAGACUAAUCGAACCCAUCUAGUAGCUGGGUUCCUGCCGAAAGUU
RNAcentral lists this ribosomal RNA (877 nucleotides) under Thelebolus stercoreus. RNAcentral's name for it is "LSU rRNA". It matches the Rfam family "Eukaryotic large subunit ribosomal RNA", at positions 75 to 969 of the family's 3401-position model. The record is from RNAcentral. Lineage: Eukaryota; Fungi; Ascomycota; Leotiomycetes; Thelebolales; Thelebolaceae.